RNAcentral lists this ribosomal RNA (484 nucleotides) under uncultured bacterium. Its description in RNAcentral is "partial 16S ribosomal RNA". It matches the Rfam family "Bacterial small subunit ribosomal RNA", at positions 30 to 507 of the family's 1533-position model. The record is from RNAcentral.
AUUGAACGCUGGCGGCAGGCCUAACACAUGCAAGUCGAGCGGAUGAAGGGAGCUUGCUCCUGGAUUCAGCGGCGGACGGGUGAGUAAUGCCUAGGAAUCUGCCUGGUAGUGGGGGAUAACGUCCGGAAACGGGCGCUAAUACCGCAUACGUCCUGAGGGAGAAAGUGGGGGAUCUUCGGACCUCACGCUAUCAGAUGAGCCUAGGUCGGAUUAGCUAGUUGGUGGGGUAAAGGCCUACCAAGGCGACGAUCCGUAACUGGUCUGAGAGGAUGAUCAGUCACACUGGAACUGAGCCACGGUCCAGCCCCCUCGGGAGGGCAGAAGUGGGGAUUAUUGGCCAAGGGGCGAAACCCUGAUCCAGCCAUCCCGCGUGGGUGAAGAAGGUUUUCGGUUUUUAAAGCCUUUUUGUUGGGAAAGAAGGGCAGAAGUUUAAUACCUUGCUGUUUUGACGUUCCAAAAAGAAUAAGCCCCGGCUAACUUCGUC